Arachis ipaensis is the source of this 154-nucleotide non-coding RNA. Lineage: Eukaryota; Viridiplantae; Streptophyta; Magnoliopsida; Fabales; Fabaceae. The record is from RefSeq and is a predicted model, not a curated record.
CACCAGUAAAAAAUAAUAAAAACCCUAACCCCAAUUCAAUAGAAUCAGAAUCGUCGACCUCUUUUGUUCAUAUCAUACGUUCCGGUGAUUGUCUUAGAGAGAGAUAUGGCUUCUGCCGGAGAUAAAAGAGGUAUGGAUGAUGUGGAUGAUAAAC